Molecule: ribosomal RNA, 496 nt
Filed under: uncultured bacterium
Lineage: Bacteria
Description: bacterial SSU rRNA
Rfam family: Bacterial small subunit ribosomal RNA
Source: RNAcentral
AGAGUUGAUCCUGGCUUAGAACGAACGCUGGUGGCGUGCUUAUACAUGCAAGCGAGCGAGGCAGCAAUGCCGAGCGGCGAACGGGUGAGUAACGCGUAAGCAAUCUGCCCCAUAUCAGGAAAUACCCGUGCCAACGCGCGGUUAAUGUCCAGGAGAGUGGCCCUCCGCAUGGAGGGUUGACUAGAGAUUCAUCGGUAUGGGAUGAGCUUGCGUCCGAUUAGCUAGUUGGCGGGGCAACGGCCCACCAAGGCGACGAUCGGUAGCCGGCCUGAGAGGUGAUCGGCCACAUUGGGACUGAGAUACGGCCCAGACUCCUACGGGAGGCAGCAGUAGGGAAUAUUGCACAAUGGGGGAAACCCUGAUGCAGCAACGCCACGUGUGGGAAGAAGCAUUUCGGUGUGUAAACCACUGUCAUGAGGGAAUAAGGCCCGCCUUCCGGACGGACCUUGAAUGUACCUUGAGAGGAAGCACCGGCAAACUUCGUGCCAGCCGCUGC